This 490-nucleotide ribosomal RNA is filed under the name uncultured bacterium. Its description in RNAcentral is "partial 16S ribosomal RNA". It matches the Rfam family "Bacterial small subunit ribosomal RNA", at positions 28 to 507 of the family's 1533-position model. The record is from RNAcentral.
GAUGAACGCUCGCUACAGGCUUAACACAUGCAAGUCGCGGGGCAGCAUGGGGGUUGCUUGCACUCCCCGAUGGCGACCGGCGCACGGGUGAGUAACGCGUAUCCAACCUGCCCUUCACCACGGGAUAACCCGGCGAAAGUCGGACUAAUACCGUAUGUUGUCCAUUGACGGCAUCCGAUUUGGACGAAAGGCUUGGCGGUGAGGGAUGGGGAUGCGUCCGAUUAGCCAGACGGCGGGGUAACGGCCCACCGUGGCUACGAUCGGUAGGGGUUCUGAGAGGAAGGUCCCCCACACUGGAACUGAGACACGGUCCAGACGCCUACGGGAGGCAGCAGUGAGGAAUAUUGGUCAAUGGGCGUAAGCCUGAACCAGCCAAGUAGCGUGCAGGAGGACGGCCCUAUGGGUUGUAAACUGCUUUUAUGCGGGGAUAAAGUGGCCCACGGGUGGGCUUUUGCAGGUACCGCAUGAAUAAGGACCGGCUAAUUCCGUG